Molecule: ribosomal RNA, 492 nt
Filed under: uncultured bacterium
Lineage: Bacteria
Description: partial 16S ribosomal RNA
Rfam family: Bacterial small subunit ribosomal RNA
Source: RNAcentral
AGUGAACGCUGGCGGUAGGCCUAACACAUGCAAGUCGAACGGCAGCACAGUAAGAGCUUGCUCUUACGGGUGGCGAGUGGCGGACGGGUGAGGAAUACAUCGGAAUCUACUUUUUCGUGGGGGAUAACGUAGGGAAACUUACGCUAAUACCGCAUACGACCUACGGGUGAAAGCAGGGGAUCUUCGGACCUUGCGCGAUUGAAUGAGCCGACGUCGGAUUAGCUAGUUGGCGGGGUAAAGGCCCACCAAGGCGACGAUCCGUAGCUGACCUGAGAGGAUGAUCAGCCACACUGGAACGGAGACACGGUCCAGACUCCUACGGGAGGCACCAGUAUGGAAUCUUCCGCAAUGUGCGAAAGCUUUACGGAGCAACACCGCGUGUGUGAGGAAAGUCUGCGGAUCGUAAAACCCUGUUAUUAGGGAAAAACAACUGUAUAAGUAACCACCCACGUCCUGACGGUACCUAGUCAGAAAGCCACGGCUAACUACGUG